UGACCUACAGAAACACUGCCUGGGAUGCUGACUGAAUGGGCAUCUGCAGAGACCAAGGCCAACAUCGGUGACAGGAGGGGGCUCUGACCAGUGUGGCGCAAGGGGUGCUGACCUGAGUCAUUAUGCAGGCGCAGUGGGAGGCUCUGGGUUCCCUUUCCAGGGAGAAGGCAGCCUGCACCUUGGUGUCAGCCUCUGACCCAGCCCUGUGUGUGGUCUGCUGC
Molecule: long non-coding RNA, 221 nt
Filed under: Homo sapiens (human)
Lineage: Eukaryota; Metazoa; Chordata; Mammalia; Primates; Hominidae
Description: HSALNT0097425
Source: RNAcentral